RNAcentral lists this long non-coding RNA (274 nucleotides) under Junco hyemalis (dark-eyed junco). RNAcentral's name for it is "lncRNA (ENSJHYG00000018047.1)". Lineage: Eukaryota; Metazoa; Chordata; Aves; Passeriformes; Passerellidae. The record is from RNAcentral.
AUGAGUGUGAAUCAGCAAGGUGUCUGUGUUGAGAAGUUCAGAGCUCCUUGUUCCCACACCAAUCUCGAGAAACAGGCCCUCUCAGAUUGUCUUGAGUUGUGCACCUGGAAGCAAAGUCAAGAUAGGCCAGGACUUUGCUUCCGCGCGGGACGAGAGGCGCGGGUGAUGGACGGAGCCGAUGAUGUGCCUGGAAGUUUUGGGCCGAGCCAAAAGCAGAAGGCAGCUGUUGACAGCUCAGUGAGGAGCUGCUGGUUUAUGAGUCUGGGGAUUUGAA